Molecule: long non-coding RNA, 200 nt
Organism: Acanthochromis polyacanthus (spiny chromis)
Lineage: Eukaryota; Metazoa; Chordata; Actinopteri; Pomacentridae
Exons: 3
Source: RefSeq, a predicted model, not a curated record
UAUAGGUGACAGAAACAGAAUGGAGGAGAGUGCAGUGAAGUGCAAGCAUUCCACAGGUCAGCUUUUUGCUGUGUCUGAUUUACCAUCAUGCAGCGGAAAAACAGAUGCAGAAUACCUGGUAUUGGUGUCAAAGUGGGUGUCCACACACAGAGAUGAGAGAUUCGUCUUACAGAAUCCAGUUGGUGCCACACUGAGAGUAG